AACGAACGCUGGCGGCAUGCCUAACACAUGCAAGUCGAACGAGACCUUCGGGUCUAGUGGCGCACGGGUGCGUAACGCGUGGGAACCUGCCCUUAGGUUCGGAAUAACUCCCCGAAAGGGGUGCUAAUACCGGAUAAUGUCUUCGGACCAAAGAUUUAUCGCCUUUGGAUGGGCCCGCGUUGGAUUAGCUAGUUGGUAGGGUAAAAGCCUACCAAGGCGACGAUCCAUAGCUGGUCUGAGAGGAUGAUCAGCCACACUGGGACUGAGACACGGCCCAGACUCCUACGGGAAGCAGCAGUGGGGAAUAUUGGACAAUGGGCGAAAGCCUGAUGCAGCGAUGCCGCGUGAGUGAUGAAGGCCUUAGGGUUGUAAAGCUCUUUUAUCCGGGAUGAUAAUGACAGUACCGGGAGAAUAAGCUCCGGCUAACUCCGUG
This 433-nucleotide ribosomal RNA is filed under the name uncultured bacterium. RNAcentral's name for it is "partial 16S ribosomal RNA". It matches the Rfam family "Bacterial small subunit ribosomal RNA", at positions 29 to 507 of the family's 1533-position model. The record is from RNAcentral.